This 1172-nucleotide long non-coding RNA is filed under the name Homo sapiens (human). RNAcentral's name for it is "long intergenic non-protein coding RNA 887". Lineage: Eukaryota; Metazoa; Chordata; Mammalia; Primates; Hominidae. The record is from RNAcentral.
ACAUGCUACAUGCUGAGACUACAAAGAUGAGUUAGAAUACAUUCCUGUCUCUCAAAAGCUCACCUUCACGUGGAGGAGAGACUUAGGCAAGCCCAUGAUUUCAGUUCCAUGUGGUCGAGUGAAGCCCAGUGAGACAGUGGAGGAGAGGGGUCAUGCCACUGCAGUUCCUCGCUAUGCCAUUCAUACAGAGCAUUCUCCAUGCUCAGGAGUCCAGGAGUCCAGUGGGCCCAUGAUGCCCAGGAGCUCGUCGAGACUCAGGGAGCAAAACAGAUCCAUUGAAAAUGACACGAGAAGGAACGAGAGAGCAAGGAUGAUCCAUAGCUCCCUGCCCUUUCAUUCAGCCUCAUCAUAAGCCAAAGGUGCGGAAGACCUACUUAAAACCUGAGAGUCUCGAAUAGGAGAGGCGCUUUCAGAUCAGCCCGAGUCUUCUGCAGCGCACAGGAGCUAGUCGUACUGAAAAGAAUGAAGUUGGACUUGUCCAGGCGAGUUUCGGACAGUGCUGGGCUGCCCUGCUCUGAUCUCCUGGGUGUCUUCACCUCCUCUGGUUCCUAAGUCGGCUGCUGCACCAGCACCCAUCAAACUCUCCUGGAAGAGGAAGUGACAGCUCACCGGUAGCCUAGAAGGCCCCUGUGGGCAGAAGCAUGGACUUACUCCUCCUCAUGGAGAUGCGGCUGAGCCAUAUUUCCUUGGCACCUCUCUGGAACCUUCGACAACCACCACCUCAGACACUAACCAGACUUUAGGUCCAUUCCUUUCAUGGCUAAAAUGAGACAGUCCACAAUGUUGAUUUUAUUUGUAGGGGAUGUCAGGAUUCCAGAAAAGCAGACUUGGAAAGCAACAAAACGUUAACUUGCAGCUCACUGAGGCCCUUACACUUGUUCUGGGCACCUCUGUAUGUUAAAAGAAGUCCAAUAUCUUUAGCUGCUGGUUAUAGGUGGCCAUAUGUUUCUGCACAGAAAUGGGGCUCCCCUUGCUAGACUAAUUUUCUAAUUUUUCCUCAAGCUUCAUUGAUUCAUAUUCUUCUACUUGACCCUGACUGUCAGGACCAACAACACCAAAUAACACCAAAGUCUCUUGCUCCUGUCCUCAGAACCUCUCAGAGGCAUCCUCUGCCCUGUUGGAGCCAUUUUAUUUCAGGUUGAUCCUUAAUUAAAUUCAGCGAGAUGCAGGAC